RNAcentral lists this ribosomal RNA (428 nucleotides) under uncultured archaeon. RNAcentral describes it as "bacterial SSU rRNA". It matches the Rfam family "Archaeal small subunit ribosomal RNA", at positions 474 to 903 of the family's 1478-position model. The record is from RNAcentral.
UACCAGCUCUCCGAGUGGUAGGGAUGUUUAUUGGGCUUAAGGCGUCCGUAGCCGGCUUAGCAAGUCUCCUGUUAAAUUCAGCGACCUAAUCGUUGAGCCGCGGGAGAUACUACUAGGCUAGGAGGCGGGAGAGGUCAACGGUACUUCCGGGGUAGGGGCGAAAUCCUAUAAUCCCGGGAGGACCACCAGUGGCGAAGGCUGUUGACUAGAACGCGCUCGACGGUGAGGGAGGAAAGCUGGGGGAGCGAACCGGAUUAGAUACCCGGGUAGUCCCAGCUGUAAACGAUGCGAGCUAGGUGUUGGGGUGGCUACGUGCCACUUCAGUGCCGCAGGGAAGCCAUUAAGCUCGCCGCCUGGGGAGUACGGCCGCAAGGCUGAAACUUAAAGGAAUUGGCGGGGAGCACCACAAGGCGUGAAGCUUGCGGUUC